AGAUUGAACGCUGGCGGCAUGCCUUACACAUGCAAGUCGAACGGCAGCACGGGAGCAAUCCUGGUGGCGAGUGGCGAACGGGUGAGUAAUAUAUCGGAACGUGCCCAGUCGUGGGGGAUAACGUAGAGAAAUUUACGCUAAUACCGCAUACGAUCCAAGGAUGAAAGCGGGGGACCGUAAGGCCUCGCGCGACUGGAGCGGCUGAUAUCAGAUUAGCUUGUUGGUGAGGUAAAGCUCACCAAGGCGACGAUCUGUAGCUGGUUUGAGAGAACGACCAGCCACACUGGGACUGAGACACGGCCCAGACUCCGUACGGG
Molecule: ribosomal RNA, 317 nt
Filed under: uncultured soil bacterium
Lineage: Bacteria
Description: bacterial SSU rRNA
Rfam family: Bacterial small subunit ribosomal RNA
Source: RNAcentral